GACGAACGCUGGCGGCGUGCCUAAUACAUGCAAGUCGAGCGAACCAAUGGGAGCUUGCUCCCUGAGGUUAGCGGCGGACGGGUGAGUAACACGUGGGUAACCUGCCUGUGAGAUUGGGAUAACUCCGGGAAACCGGAGCUAAUACCGGAUAAUAUUUUGAACCGCAUGGUUCAAAAUUGAAAGACGGCUUCGGCUGUCACUUACAGAUGGACCCGCGGCGCAUUAGCUAGUUGGUGAGGUAACGGCUCACCAAGGCGACGAUGCGUAGCCGACCUGAGAGGGUGAUCGGCCACACUGGGACUGAGACACGGCCCAGACUCCUACGGGAGGCAGCAGUAGGGAAUCUUCCGCAAUGGACGAAAGUCUGACGGAGCAACGCCGCGUGAACGAUGAAGGCCUUCGGGUCGUAAAGUUCUGUUGUUAGGGAAGAACAAGUACCAGAGUAACUGCUGGUACCUUGACGGUACCUAACCAGAAAGCCACGGCUAACUACGUG
Molecule: ribosomal RNA, 496 nt
Filed under: uncultured bacterium
Lineage: Bacteria
Description: partial 16S ribosomal RNA
Rfam family: Bacterial small subunit ribosomal RNA
Source: RNAcentral